GGGUUGUGAGGUUAAGCGACUAAGCGUACACGGUGGAUGCCCUGGCAGUCAGAGGCGAUGAAGGACGUGCUAAUCUGCGAAAAGCGUCGGUAAGGUGAUAUGAACCGUUAUAACCGGCGAUGUCCGAAUGGGGAAACCCAGUGCAAUUCGUUGCACUAUCGUUAACUGAAUACAUAGGUUAACGAGGCGAACCGGGGGAACUGAAACAUCUAAGUACCCCGAGGAAAAGAAAUCAACCGAGAUUCCCCCAGUAGCGGCGAGCGAACGGGGAGCAGCCCAGAGUCUGAAUCAGCUUGUGUGUUAGUGGAACGGUCUGGAAAGUCCGACGGUACAGGGUGAUAGUCCCGUACACCAAAAUGCACAGGUUGUGAACUCGAAGAGUAGGGCGGGACACGUGGUAUCCUGUCUGAAUAUGGGGGGACCAUCCUCCAAGGCUAAAUACUCCUGACUGACCGAUAGUGAACCAGUACCGUGAGGGAAAGGCGAAAAGAACCCCGGCGAGGGGAGUGAAAAAGAACCUGAAACCGUGUACGUACAAGCAGUGGGAGCACCUUCGGGUGUGACUGCGUACCUUUUGUAUAAUGGGUCAGCGACUUAUAUUCUGUAGCAAGGUUAACCGUAUAGGGGAGCCGCAGGGAAACCGAGUCUUAACUGGGCGUUAAGUUGCAGGGUAUAGACCCGAAACCCGGUGAUCUAGCCAUGGGCAGGUUGAAGGUUGGGUAACACUAACUGGAGGACCGAACCGACUAAUGUUGAAAAAUUAGCGGAUGACUUGUGGCUGGGGGUGAAAGGCCAAUCAAACCGGGAGAUAGCUGGUUCUCCCCGAAAGCUAUUUAGGUAGCGCCUCGUGAACUCAUCUUCGGGGGUAGAGCACUGUUUCGGCUAGGGGGUCAUCCCGACUUACCAACCCGAUGCAAACUACGAAUACCGAAGAAUGUUAUCACGGGAGACACACGGCGGGUGCUAACGUCCGUCGUGAAGAGGGAAACAACCCAGACCGCCAGCUAAGGUCCCAAAGUCAUGGUUAAGUGGGAAACGAUGUGGGAAGGCACAGACAGCCAGGAUGUUGGCUUAGAAGCAGCCAUCAUUUAAAGAAAGCGUAAUAGCUCACUGGUCGAGUCGGCCUGCGCGGAAGAUGUAACGGGGCUAAACCAUGCACCGAAGCUGCGGCAGCGACACUAUGUGUUGUUGGGUAGGGGAGCGUUCUGUAAGCCUGCGAAGGUGACCUGUGAGGGUUGCUGGAGGUAUCAGAAGUGCGAAUGCUGACAUAAGUAACGAUAAAGCGGGUGAAAAGCCCGCUCGCCGGAAGACCAAGGGUUCCUGUCCAACGUUAAUCGGGGCAGGGUGAGUCGACCCCUAAGGCGAGGCCGAAAGGCGUAGUCGAUGGGAAACAGGUUAAUAUUCCUGUACUUGGUGUUACUGCGAAGGGGGGACGGAGAAGGCUAUGUUAGCCGGGCGACGGUUGUCCCGGUUUAAGCAUGUAGGCUG
This 1488-nucleotide ribosomal RNA is filed under the name Klebsiella pneumoniae. Its description in RNAcentral is "bacterial LSU rRNA". It matches the Rfam family "Bacterial large subunit ribosomal RNA", at positions 1 to 1527 of the family's 2925-position model. The record is from RNAcentral. Lineage: Bacteria; Pseudomonadati; Pseudomonadota; Gammaproteobacteria; Enterobacterales; Enterobacteriaceae. RNAcentral also lists the same sequence under 1 other name.